RNAcentral lists this ribosomal RNA (465 nucleotides) under uncultured bacterium. Its description in RNAcentral is "partial 16S ribosomal RNA". It matches the Rfam family "Bacterial small subunit ribosomal RNA", at positions 338 to 795 of the family's 1533-position model. The record is from RNAcentral.
CCUACGGGUGGCAGCAGUGGGGAAUAUUGCGCAAUGGGCGAAAGCCUGACGCAGCGACGCCGCGUGAGGGAUGAAGGUCUUCGGAUCGUAAACCUCUGUUAGCAGGGAAGAACGGUCACUGUGUUAAUCAGCAGUGAAUUGACGUUACCUGCAAAGGAAGCAUCGGCUAACUCCGUGCCAGCAGCCGCGGUAAUACGGAGGGUGCGAGCGUUAAUCGGAAUUACUGGGCGUAAAGGGCUCGUAGGCGGUAUGUCAAGUCAAGGGUGAAAUCCCCGGGCUCAACGUGGGAACUGCCGUUGAAACUGGCAAGCUGGAGUGUGUGAGAGGAUAGUGGAAUUCCAGGUGUAGGGGUGAAAUCCGUAGAUAUCGGGAGGAACAUCGGUGGCGAAGGCGACUAUCUGGCACAUAACUGACGCUGAGGAGCGAAAGCGUGGGUAGCAAACAGGAUUAGAUACCCCAGUAGUC